Molecule: ribosomal RNA, 2923 nt
Filed under: Klebsiella pneumoniae
Lineage: Bacteria; Pseudomonadati; Pseudomonadota; Gammaproteobacteria; Enterobacterales; Enterobacteriaceae
Description: 23S ribosomal RNA
Rfam family: Bacterial large subunit ribosomal RNA
Source: RNAcentral
GGGUUGUGAGGUUAAGCGACUAAGCGUACACGGUGGAUGCCCUGGCAGUCAGAGGCGAUGAAGGACGUGCUAAUCUGCGAAAAGCGUCGGUAAGGUGAUAUGAACCGUUAUAACCGGCGAUGUCCGAAUGGGGAAACCCAGUGCAAUUCGUUGCACUAUCGUUAACUGAAUACAUAGGUUAACGAGGCGAACCGGGGGAACUGAAACAUCUAAGUACCCCGAGGAAAAGAAAUCAACCGAGAUUCCCCCAGUAGCGGCGAGCGAACGGGGAGCAGCCCAGAGUCUGAAUCAGCUUGUGUGUUAGUGGAACGGUCUGGAAAGUCCGACGGUACAGGGUGAUAGUCCCGUACACCAAAAUGCACAGGCUGUGAACUCGAAGAGUAGGGCGGGACACGUGGUAUCCUGUCUGAAUAUGGGGGGACCAUCCUCCAAGGCUAAAUACUCCUGACUGACCGAUAGUGAACCAGUACCGUGAGGGAAAGGCGAAAAGAACCCCGGCGAGGGGAGUGAAAAAGAACCUGAAACCGUGUACGUACAAGCAGUGGGAGCACCUUCGGGUGUGACUGCGUACCUUUUGUAUAAUGGGUCAGCGACUUAUAUUCUGUAGCAAGGUUAACCGUAUAGGGGAGCCGCAGGGAAACCGAGUCUUAACUGGGCGUUAAGUUGCAGGGUAUAGACCCGAAACCCGGUGAUCUAGCCAUGGGCAGGUUGAAGGUUGGGUAACACUAACUGGAGGACCGAACCGACUAAUGUUGAAAAAUUAGCGGAUGACUUGUGGCUGGGGGUGAAAGGCCAAUCAAACCGGGAGAUAGCUGGUUCUCCCCGAAAGCUAUUUAGGUAGCGCCUCGUGAAUUCAUCUUCGGGGGUAGAGCACUGUUUCGGCUAGGGGGUCAUCCCGACUUACCAACCCGAUGCAAACUGCGAAUACCGAAGAAUGUUAUCACGGGAGACACACGGCGGGUGCUAACGUCCGUCGUGAAGAGGGAAACAACCCAGACCGCCAGCUAAGGUCCCAAAGUCAUGGUUAAGUGGGAAACGAUGUGGGAAGGCACAGACAGCCAGGAUGUUGGCUUAGAAGCAGCCAUCAUUUAAAGAAAGCGUAAUAGCUCACUGGUCGAGUCGGCCUGCGCGGAAGAUGUAACGGGGCUAAACCAUGCACCGAAGCUGCGGCAGCGACACUAUGUGUUGUUGGGUAGGGGAGCGUUCUGUAAGCCUGCGAAGGUGUGCUGUGAGGCAUGCUGGAGGUAUCAGAAGUGCGAAUGCUGACAUAAGUAACGAUAAAGCGGGUGAAAAGCCCGCUCGCCGGAAGACCAAGGGUUCCUGUCCAACGUUAAUCGGGGCAGGGUGAGUCGACCCCUAAGGCGAGGCCGAAAGGCGUAGUCGAUGGGAAACAGGUUAAUAUUCCUGUACUUGGUGUUACUGCGAAGGGGGGACGGAGAAGGCUAUGUUAGCCGGGCGACGGUUGUCCCGGUUUAAGCAUGUAGGCUGGUUGUCCAGGCAAAUCCGGAUAAUCAAGGCUGAGGUGUGAUGACGAGGCACUACGGUGCUGAAGUAACAAAUGCCCUGCUUCCAGGAAAAGCCUCUAAGCAUCAGGUAACAUUAAAUCGUACCCCAAACCGACACAGGUGGUCAGGUAGAGAAUACCAAGGCGCUUGAGAGAACUCGGGUGAAGGAACUAGGCAAAAUGGUGCCGUAACUUCGGGAGAAGGCACGCUGGUGUGUAGGUGAAGUCCCUGCGGAUGGAGCUGAGACCAGUCGAAGAUACCAGCUGGCUGCAACUGUUUAUUAAAAACACAGCACUGUGCAAACACGAAAGUGGACGUAUACGGUGUGACGCCUGCCCGGUGCCGGAAGGUUAAUUGAUGGGGUUAUCCGUAAGGAGAAGCUCUUGAUCGAAGCCCCGGUAAACGGCGGCCGUAACUAUAACGGUCCUAAGGUAGCGAAAUUCCUUGUCGGGUAAGUUCCGACCUGCACGAAUGGCGUAAUGAUGGCCAGGCUGUCUCCACCCGAGACUCAGUGAAAUUGAACUCGCUGUGAAGAUGCAGUGUACCCGCGGCAAGACGGAAAGACCCCGUGAACCUUUACUAUAGCUUGACACUGAACAUUGAGCCUUGAUGUGUAGGAUAGGUGGGAGGCUUUGAAGCGUGGACGCCAGUCUGCGUGGAGCCAACCUUGAAAUACCACCCUUUAAUGUUUGAUGUUCUAACGUUGGCCCCUUAUCGGGGUUGCGGACAGUGUCUGGUGGGUAGUUUGACUGGGGCGGUCUCCUCCCAAAGCGUAACGGAGGAGCACGAAGGUUAGCUAAUCCUGGUCGGACAUCAGGAGGUUAGUGCAAUGGCAUAAGCUAGCUUGACUGCGAGCGUGACGGCGCGAGCAGGUGCGAAAGCAGGUCAUAGUGAUCCGGUGGUUCUGAAUGGAAGGGCCAUCGCUCAACGGAUAAAAGGUACUCCGGGGAUAACAGGCUGAUACCGCCCAAGAGUUCAUAUCGACGGCGGUGUUUGGCACCUCGAUGUCGGCUCAUCACAUCCUGGGGCUGAAGUAGGUCCCAAGGGUAUGGCUGUUCGCCAUUUAAAGUGGUACGCGAGCUGGGUUUAGAACGUCGUGAGACAGUUCGGUCCCUAUCUGCCGUGGGCGCUGGAGAAUUGAGGGGGGCUGCUCCUAGUACGAGAGGACCGGAGUGGACGCAUCACUGGUGUUCGGGUUGUCAUGCCAAUGGCACUGCCCGGUAGCUAAAUGCGGAAGAGAUAAGUGCUGAAAGCAUCUAAGCACGAAACUUGCCCCGAGAUGAGUUCUCCCUGAGACUUUAAGUCUCCUGAAGGAACGUUGAAGACGACGACGUUGAUAGGCCGGGUGUGUAAGCGCAGCGAUGCGUUGAGCUAACCGGUACUAAUGAACCGUGAGGCUUAACCUUACAACGCCGAAG